RNAcentral lists this unclassified non-coding RNA (2870 nucleotides) under Owenia fusiformis. RNAcentral describes it as "misc RNA OFUS_LOCUS21583". The record is from RNAcentral. Lineage: Eukaryota; Metazoa; Annelida; Polychaeta; Sabellida; Oweniidae.
AAAGAUGACGUCAUUAGACUAAGAAACUUCAAAGAUGGCUGGAAAAAAAUUCAGAAAAAUAACUUGCCCAUUUAGUGUGAUUCUGGGCUGUUCAAGGAUGAUAUGAUCAUAUUGACAUAGAUCAUUAAAAGUGAACUUUUGGUUCACAAUUUGCUCCUAUAUUGAUGCAGUAUCUAGAGUGAUCUUGUUUAGAGAAAGAUGUCGUGGGAAGAGCUAUCUCAAGGAGCUGGAAGUGCAUUUCCCCCUAUAGAUGGUGUACCAAUUAAACUAUCUGACAAGUACAAGCCAUUGAAAAAGGUGACUCUCCCCCUGAAUUUUCAACAGAGGGACAUAUCGUCAAUCCUAAACCUGCAAUAUGACUUUACACUGGAGACUGAUGUGAUAGAAUGGACAGAAGCCCAGAAGGAGAGUCAGCUCAUGGAGGAGCAGGCUCACUUUGAUAAUAUUGCCACUAACAUAGAACAACUAGGAAAAGACAAUGAUAGCAUGGAUAUUGAUAUAGAAGGUGCUGAUUUUGCCCCAGAAGGGUCUCAUACAAUUAUGCCAGAGCCAGAUGAUGAUGAUCAAAAUCAUGUUUCGGAUCAGCAAAUUAGAUCAACGGAGAAUGUGGCACCUCUUGUAGCACAGGUGCCUAGUGUAGAUGUGCCGCUGAAUAUUUGGAAUAAUAUUCUUCAACCUGUUCAAAUUCAACCAAAUAAACAAACCAACCAGCCAAAACCUGCAGAAAGGUCAACUUCUUUUAAUUUGGCUGAUUUUGAAAGGGUGCAAGAUCCUUUUGAUAGUGUUGAGCUUAAAACUCUUAACGAUUUUGAAGAAUUGGGAAAAGUUUUACAAAACACACAAGUGACUUCUGCAGUUUCACAAUCAGGUAUUCAACCUGGAGUAGUCAAAGAUACAUUUAUGCCCAAUGGUGGGGCAAUGGACUUAAACAGGCCAGUUAUUCAAGGUUCUGCAACAAGUGGACCCCCUAUUCAGCAAUAUAGUGAGCAAAGGGCUCAGGCUGUUGCUAGUUUAAAUAGGCCCUCCAACAGUAUAAACCAAACCAUCAGAACACAACCCACAGCUACGUUAAAUCAGGGCACAGUCAGUUUUAACAAAAAUUCCGAUGCUGUAACAUUCCCAACUGUUCCCUCUAAUGUUAAAAUCCCUCGCUCUAUUAACCAACAGACAGCAGUGUCAGUUCCCAGUAGUAGUGCAGCGAAUAAUUCGGCAAGUAAUCCAUUCACUCGAGGACAGGUCCUGCCCCCUAUUGGUAGUAGUUUUAGUGAUCAGGAUGAAUUUGGGUUACCACGAAUACCACAUUGUACCCUGGCCUCUAUUGGUGCUACAGAUGCUCAAAACCGAUAUUCUAGUAGUCUCUAUAGUAAUAGCUGCAAUACAAACAAUUCAGCUAGCACACAUAAUGGCACCCCUGUCCAGUCAUCUGCUGCCACAGGAACUGUUCAAAACAGUUUUGUAAACUCACAUGAUGCAAUUGCAGCAAAUGGCCCUUAUAACCCUUGGCAGCUUCCUCCAUAUACUCCUCGUAGAGCAUCCCAACCUGUGCCAGUCCCUACACCACAAUCUAAUCAUGUCUCUAAUCAAGGCAGACUAACUGCUGCAAAAAGUAUUGAGAGCUUACACAAAGAUUUAAAUGCAAAUAGAGACGAUGUGCAAAAUAUGACCAGGCUGCAAAAGUGCAAAAGCAAUCCAGAUUUAACUGAAAUAGGAGGCCUGAGAAAACCAAUGGGAAAAUCACAGACAAAAAGACCAUACCCCGUUUCAAAAACACCACCGCCAUACCCCGUUUCUACCAAGGUGCCAGAUGAAUCCUCAUCACCCCCACCCCCAUACACCCUAGGUUCAUCACCUCCACCAUAUAGACAUAGUCCAUCUCCAUUAACAGAACCCCCUCAGAGCCAUAAUGGUUAUGGGGCUAGUCCAACACCCUCGGCAAUAACUAGUCUCCCCAAUCCAUACCCUCGUCUUUCAAGUGAACACAAACUAUUAGUGGAUAAUAUAUCUGCAAUGGGGUUUCCACAUACCAGGGUGGCUAGGGCUGUUGAAAAAUACAAAGAGGAUGAUAAAAUGGUUGUUGAUUACCUGUGCUCUGUGAACAGACUUAUAGAGAAAGGUAACCAUGGAGAUAAAGCAGAGGAUGCUCUAAAUUUAUAUGACAACAAUGAAGAAAAGGCUUCUGAAUAUCUUGAAGUGAUGGGUCAACUGGCAGAGCUGGGAUUUGCUGAAGACAAGAUUAAAGAAGCUUUAGUUCUAACUGAUAACAACAGAGAGAACGCAUUGGACCAUCUUAUAUAAAAAUACAAACUGACCUUGAAAUACGACUACAGUAUUGGCAGGCUUUUUAAAGGAGACAGUUUUUUAAAGGAAUGCUUACAGAAACUACAUUUUUAUUAUUUGAUCAUACUUCAUUUGAAAGCUGCUAUGGGAAAUGUCAGCGUAUUCAAAUCAACCAAGCCAUAUGUGGAUAAUUAUUCACACCUGUAGCUACAUAAGUAAGGAUUGUUCACUCUGACAUUACUGAAAAAGAAUAAGGAACCAUGUCCAGAUGUCAAUAGUUGUGAAAUGUUUUCAUUUCCCAUGAAAUGUUAUUAAUUAAUUAUGCAUACUCUACUAUCAAUAUUUGGACAUGUUUCCAAAUAAAAAUGACAUGACAGUUAAAGGCAUACAUGUACCAGGUACAUUCUGAAUCUGAUUCAUGAUCAGUAGUAGUAAUGGAUCUAAGUUAUUUAUUCAGAAGUAAGAUUGAACUCGCCUAUUUAUUUUGAUUUUUUGGGGAGUUAAUUUGUAUUAUUGGUGCCUUAAGUUAAUUUGGCAUCUUCAAGUAUCACUGAAGUAACUAGGCUCAUACCGAAAUAGCCUGACAACGGUAA